GUGAGUCAUCGAAUCUUUGAACGCACCUUGCGCUCCUUGGUAUUCCGAGGAGCAUGCCUGUUUGAGUGUCAUUAAUAUAUCAAACCCUCUCUUGUUGAGUGAGUGGUUUUGGAUGUGGGGGUUGUUGGCCUAGUAAAAAAGGGUUCAGCAUCCUCUGAAAUACAUUAGCAGAACAAACCUGUUCAUUGGCGUGAUAACUAUCUAUGCUAUUGAACGUGUGGGGCAGUUCAGCUUUCUAAUGGUCCUUUGGGACAAAUAUUUAUCAUUUAUGUGACCUCAAAUCAGGUAGGACUACCCGCUGAACUUAAGCAUAUCAAUAAGCGGAGG
This 327-nucleotide ribosomal RNA is filed under the name Cortinarius sp. 4229 JG-2015. RNAcentral's name for it is "eukaryotic LSU rRNA". The stretch from base 1 to 71 matches the Rfam family "5.8S ribosomal RNA", at positions 84 to 154 of the family's 154-position model. RNAcentral also lists the same sequence under 1 other name. The record is from RNAcentral. Lineage: Eukaryota; Fungi; Basidiomycota; Agaricomycetes; Agaricales; Cortinariaceae.